This 898-nucleotide ribosomal RNA is filed under the name uncultured archaeon. Its description in RNAcentral is "partial 16S ribosomal RNA". It matches the Rfam family "Archaeal small subunit ribosomal RNA", at positions 5 to 879 of the family's 1478-position model. The record is from RNAcentral.
CGGUUGAUCCUGCCGGACCCUAUUGCUAUCGGGGUAAGACUAAGCCAUGCAAGUUGUGCGCUCCCAAGCUAUUGUGGGAGAGCAGCAAACGGCUCAGUAACACGUAGUCAACCUACCCUUGGGACGGGUAUAAACCCGGGAAACUGGGUUUAAUACCCGAUAAGUGAAAAGCCCUGGAAUGGCUUUUCACUGAAAGAUAUCAAAAACAUGCUUUUGAUAUCGCCCAAGGAUGGGACUGCGGCCGAUCAGGUUGUUGGUAAGGUAACGGCUUACCAAGCCUAUAACCGGUACGGGCCCUGAGAGGGGUAGCCCGGAGAUGGGAACUGAGACAAGGUCCCAGGCCCUACGGGGCGCAGCAGGCGCGAAACCUCCACAAUGCACGAAAGUGCGAUGGGGUUAUCCCGAGUGCCACCCUUUGAGGGUGGCUUUUCUUUGGCGUAGUGAGCCAAGGGAAUAAGAGGGGGGCAAGACUGGUGUCAGCCGCCGCGGUAAUACCAGCCCCUCGAGUGGUAGGGAUGAUUAUUUAGCCUAAAGCGUCCGUAGCUGGCCUAAUAAGUCCCUUGUGAAAUCCGACGAUUCAAUCGUCGGGCGCGCAAGGGAUACUAUUAGGCUAGGGGGCGGGAGAAGUCAACGGUAUUCUCAGGGUAGGGGUGAAAUCCUGUAAUCCUGAGAAGACCACCAGUGGCGAAGGCGGUUGACUAGAACGCGCCCGACAGUGAUGGACGAAAGCUGGGGGAGCGAACCGGAUUAGAUACCCGGGUAGUCCCAGCUGUAAACGAUGCGGGCUAGGUGUUGAGAUGGCCACGAGCCAUCUCAGUGCCGCAGGGAAGCCCUUAAGCCCGCCGCUUGGGAAGUACGGCCGCAAGGCUGAAACUUAAAGGAAUUGGCGGGGGAGCAC